Non-coding RNA from Ixodes scapularis (black-legged tick), 82 nucleotides. NCBI's taxonomy places the organism in Eukaryota, Metazoa, Arthropoda, Arachnida, Ixodida, Ixodidae. The record is from Rfam.
GCAGUCGUGGCCGAGUGGGUCAGGCGAUGGCCUAGAAAUUCACUGGGGUCUCCCCGCGCAGCUUCGAAUCCUGUCGACUGCG